UAUACAUAUCAGCUAUUGCUACGAGCAGCUUGAGUGUGAAGCUGAGUUCUCAGUGUCUCUGCUGAAGUUAUUGCUGUCUUUACACAACUUUAAGGUUUCUAUUGCAGAGUCCUAGAGGAGCCUGCCUAAAAGAGAAACUUGAGAAUGGAUUUUGCUGUGGCAUUGGUGGACUUCUCUCCCUGAAACCAUGGCCAGGGGGUGUGUGUGCGUGUGGUGAUGACUAUCAGAAGUCUUCCUGGAGUGGUUGCCAGGUUACUUACCCUGUAAAUAGGAAAAUACAGAGGCAUAAAAAUCCCUGAGCAAUGACGUGGACCUGUGUUGGCUGGCUUAGCUCCAGAUCAAAACUAUCAUGUCUAAUGAUUGUUGAAUUUCUUCUGUCUGUGUAAACAUUGCUCUUACAUGUCUGCUUUCCCUCUGUUUCAUUAUUGACCAAAUUUCCUGAUACUGAGAACUUUGCUCCAAAGAAAUGGGACAGAUCUGGCUAUUUUUGCAUAAAGAAAAAUAUUAUUGGCAGACAACUGUUGAGAUUUUCCGAAUCAAGGUUCUGACGUGAAGACUCAUGAUUGCUUGAAAACUAUCUCAGAUUGAGAUAAAUUCAGACAGUGCGGGUCUACAAGGUUGUCCUCUUCCUGCUAAGAAAAGACUUGUCUAAUGAAGCUUGGAGCUCUUACAUAUUUUUGGAGCUGAAAGGCACUGUGAUGCAUAGUUAAAUGUAUAUGUACAGUAACACUGUUCAGACAGUAUAGACACUGGAGAAACUCCGGCUGGGAAUCUUGCAGGAUCAAGAAUCAGAAGGGACUCUCAGUGGUUACUCUAUUCUUCCUUCUGCUUCUCAUGCGUGAGUUUUCUAUUUAAACUUUGUUUUAAAGAUGACCUCCAAUGCUGCAAACCUCAGUCCCCAGGCAGUCAAGGCCAAUGCUUUGUUGUCAUUAGAAUAUUUUCUUCUCAUAUCUAGCAUGAUCCUCCUGCUGCAAUUUAAUCUGGUUACUUGUCCUGUUCUCAAUGGAGAACAAAUUACGACCUCUUUUUGGAGUUGCUAUUCUGGAACUCUGUAAAACACCCCUUUUCUGCCUUCUCUCUUUUAUAUUGUAGAAUGAGGAAAGCAAGUUUUAGUCUGUCCUCAUGGGUUAUUAUAUCUAUAUUGCUGUGCUGUGUGCUCUUUAACACUGGUUUAAAAAUCCUUCUUAAUAUGCUUUGCUCAAAACUGGACGCACCUCUUCAGUCAAGACCUUGUCAGUAAUUUGCCAAAGACUAUCUGGCUUAUGUACCACUAUGGAACAUCCCUUUUUGCCCACUGCCUCAAGUUAUUCACUCAUGCUGACAUGAACUGUGCCACCUGAUUUGUAAGAAGUUUGAUCAAUCAGGCUUGGUGAACUAAUCAAUCCCCUGUACUUUAUUGAAAGACCCUUUGUAAUGGCAGUGCAGAGCUUCACUGCAGCAGAAUCUCCUUUUAUUUUUGUACAAUCAGCCUGGUUUUUAUUCUCUAAUUUCAUUUGAAGUAGGCUACGAGGAGAAUUGAGGGACAGAGAGAGCAUCAGAUGUUAUCUGAUCAAAUACAGAGAGAUAAGUUUUGAUCUCAAUUAUGUAAGUGUAGAAACAGAUUUUUCUAGAUUUAUCAUGGUGUAAUAGAAUUAAGUUUAUUAAAAUUAAAACAGCCAUAUUGAAAGCUAGUAUUUGUACUACUUUACCAGUUUUAGGAGAAUUACUGAGUUGUCCUAGAAGAUAGAAUGUUUGUUCCUGGGGUACCAGAGAAAUUUUUCUUCAGCUGUCUGCAUCCAAUUAUUUUUUUGUAUUAUACUUCCCUGCCUCUAUCCCCUCACUUUUCCUUCUCUUUUAUUCUAUUUGAGCAAUUAUUUCUUUUUCUAGUCUGGGUAGUAGCAGUCUCUCUUUUGAAAAUAAAAAGCAAAGAAAUCAAAACACAGAAAAAUUAAACAAAAGGCAUUCUAGUUUGGAAGAUUCUUCUCGUUAAAUGUCGAUGACUCAUCAACAUUGAAAACUAGAAAUUUGCAGAAUAUUUUAUCAUCUUUGCUUGUCAAUGGCAAGUACAAUGUGUAAGCUAAAAAGAAUCCCUGUGCUUUAUGAAUUUUCAGUUCUAGGUACAGAAAAGACAUGAUAAAAGGAGUAAUGAACUAGGGAAGAGUUGGAGAGAAUUUAGAUUAAAAGAUAAAUAGAUGCUUUGCUAAAUUAUGCCUGACACCCAGGGAAGAAAAGUUUGUUGCUUCAUAAAUGAUGACAUGGCACUGAACAAAACUUCAUGGAGGCAUUUUACCUUAAUAAUUACUCGUUACUGAAUAGUGUGGCAGUUGGCUGAUUGGAGGACUUAAUGAGAUGUUUUUGUGUGACUACCCUUAACUGUUUGUGGCAGUCAAGUUGUACAAAUCAUUUCAGUAAUGCACAUUUUAAGCUAAUAGCAGACAAUGUUAUUCCCAAUUAAGGUCACAGUUCCUGCUAACUUGACAGGUAAUGUCAGGGCUGAAAGUCUGAUGGGAUAAAAUUCUGGAGGGAAAUGCUCUUGGAUAUGGAAUUGUGAAUCCCAGAGGAUUAUCAAGUCAUGGCUGAUGAUUUAGGGUACACAAAGUCAUAAAGUGUUAGACUGAUUUUUGCCUGCAGGAUUAGAUUAUUUUACUAUCUAUAGGGAACCAUCACACUUGCACCCCAACAUGAAAACAGAGUUGAUGGGCAGCAGAGCACAUUAGCCUCGUUUAAAGUCUUCCUCACAGUUCACCUUAUUUCCUUGCUCGUUCACUUUGUCAGUGAGGCCAACAGAGAGGCUCUGCAGUAUUAUGAAGCCGAAAAAAGGAACGUAUGCCUUGUCAGACUUGAUGCUUCUUACGUAGAAGUUUGCACAUAUCUUAUCCUCAAGUGUUGUUCCGCAGCUUCCUUCUUUGUAGGGGUGCAGCACCUAGUAUCCCCAGACUGUAUUUGAGACUCUUCCAUUUAGAUAUGUCACACACAUCUUGCUCGAUCAGGUGGUGUUAACUAGUUGCUAUCAUUGGGUUUGGAUGCUCAUGGAAGAAAUCAGCUGGGUUGGAAAAUAUUAACUUUGACAUUUAUUUAAAUUGCAGCUUGAUUUUUAUCUCCUUUUUUGAGGUUCAGUGAAUUGCAUUUGCUGUCAAUUUAUUGUUAAAAAUAGAACUUCAUGUGAACUCUCAGUAGGUCUCUCUGUAAUGAUUAUGUUACAUACUUGUACACUGUACUCACUGUAUAUCAACUGGAGUUGAACUAAGCUACCCCUGUGGUAUAAGACACGUGGAGCUUUAUUGGAAUAAAAUAAAAAUAACCUAAAUGAAGAAUAAAUUCCAGCUUAAUAACAGGAGGACUAACUAGUC
Long non-coding RNA from Tympanuchus pallidicinctus (lesser prairie-chicken), 3329 nucleotides. RefSeq lists it as uncharacterized. The record is from RefSeq and is a predicted model, not a curated record. The transcript is spliced from 3 exons. NCBI's taxonomy places the organism in Eukaryota, Metazoa, Chordata, Aves, Galliformes, Phasianidae.